AUAGGGGCGCAAGCCUGACCCAGCAACGCCGCGUGAAGGAAGAAGGCUUUCGGGUUGUAAACUUCUUUUGACAGGGAAGAGCAGAAGACGGUACCUGUCGAAUAAGCCACGGCUAACUACGUGCC
RNAcentral lists this ribosomal RNA (125 nucleotides) under uncultured bacterium. Its description in RNAcentral is "partial 16S ribosomal RNA". It matches the Rfam family "Bacterial small subunit ribosomal RNA", at positions 369 to 509 of the family's 1533-position model. The record is from RNAcentral.